RNAcentral lists this ribosomal RNA (721 nucleotides) under Pontibacillus sp. H-S1-5. Its description in RNAcentral is "bacterial SSU rRNA". It matches the Rfam family "Bacterial small subunit ribosomal RNA", at positions 96 to 803 of the family's 1533-position model. The record is from RNAcentral. Lineage: Bacteria; Bacillati; Bacillota; Bacilli; Caryophanales; Bacillaceae.
CGGCGGACGGGUGAGUAACACGUGGGUAACCUGCCUUCGAGAUUGGGAUAACUCCGGGAAACCGGGGCUAAUACCGAAUAACACAUGAAACCGCAUGGUUUCGUGAUAAAAGGCGGCUUCGGCCGUCACUCGAAGAUGGACCCGCGGCGCAUUAGCUAGUUGGUAAGGUAACGGCUUACCAAGGCGACGAUGCGUAGCCGACCUGAGAGGGUGAUCGGCCACACUGGGACUGAGACACGGCCCAGACUCCUACGGGAGGCAGCAGUAGGGAAUCUUCCGCAAUGGACGAAAGUCUGACGGAGCAACGCCGCGUGAACGAUGAAGGUCUUCGGAUCGUAAAGUUCUGUUGUUAGGGAAGAACAAGUGCCAUAGGAAAUGAUGGCACCUUGACGGUACCUAACCAGAAAGCCCCGGCUAACUACGUGCCAGCAGCCGCGGUAAUACGUAGGGGGCAAGCGUUGUCCGGAAUUAUUGGGCGUAAAGCGCGCGCAGGCGGUUCCUUAAGUCUGAUGUGAAAGCCCACGGCUCAACCGUGGAUGGCCAUUGGAAACUGGGGAACUUGAGUACAGAAGAGGAGAGUGGAAUUCCACGUGUAGCGGUGAAAUGCGUAGAGAUGUGGAGGAACACCAGUGGCGAAGGCGACUCUCUGGUCUGUAACUGACGCUGAGGCGCGAAAGCGUGGGUAGCAAACAGGAUUAGAUACCCUGGUAGUCCACGCCGU